RNAcentral lists this ribosomal RNA (330 nucleotides) under uncultured eukaryote. RNAcentral describes it as "partial 18S ribosomal RNA". It matches the Rfam family "Eukaryotic small subunit ribosomal RNA", at positions 1470 to 1796 of the family's 1831-position model. The record is from RNAcentral.
CCCUUUGAUAUUCUGGGCCGCACGCGCGCUACACUGACGAAUUCAACGAGUUUAUAACCUUAGCCGAGAGGCUCGGGUAAUCUUUUCAACGUUCGUCGUGAUGGGGAUAGAUUAUUGCAAUUAUUAAUCUUCAACGAGGAAUUCCUAGUAAACGCAAGUCAUCAGCUUGCAUUGAUUACGUCCCUGCCCUUUGUACACACCGCCCGUCGCACCUACCGAUUGAAUGGUCCGGUGAAAUCUUCGGACCGUGACUUUGUUUUGAUUCUGUCAAAACACUGACUCGGAAAGUUGAUUAAACCUUACCAUUUAGAGGAAGGUGAAGUCGUAACA